ACGGCACCUGGCAGCUAGCGG
RNAcentral lists this unclassified non-coding RNA (21 nucleotides) under Chlamydomonas reinhardtii. RNAcentral describes it as "small RNA Cre_0327". The record is from RNAcentral. Lineage: Eukaryota; Viridiplantae; Chlorophyta; Chlorophyceae; Chlamydomonadales; Chlamydomonadaceae.